CCUACGGGAGUCAGCAGUGAGGAAUAUUGGUCAAUGGGCGCGAGACUGAACCAGCCAAGUAGCGUGUAGGAUGACUGCCCUACGGGUUGUAAACUUCUUUUAUAAAGGAAUAAAGUGAGGCACGUGUGCCUUUUUGUAUGUACUUUAUGAAUAAGGAUCGGCUAACUCCGUGCCAGCAGCCGCGGUAAUACGGAGGAUCCGAGCGUUAUCCGGAUUUAUUGGGUUUAAAGGGAGCGUAGAUGGAUUGUUAAGUCAGUUGUGAAAGUUUGCGGCUUAACUGUCAAAUUGCAAUUGAUACUGGCAGUCUAGAGUACAGUUGAGGUAGGCGGAAUGCGUGGUGUAGCGGUGAAAUGCUUAGAUAUCACACAGAACACCGAUUGCGAAGGCAGCUUACUAAGCUGCCACUGACAUUGAUGCUCGAAAGUGUGGGUAUCAAACAGGAUUAGAUACCCCGGUAGUC
Molecule: ribosomal RNA, 460 nt
Filed under: uncultured bacterium
Lineage: Bacteria
Description: partial 16S ribosomal RNA
Rfam family: Bacterial small subunit ribosomal RNA
Source: RNAcentral